Molecule: ribosomal RNA, 253 nt
Filed under: uncultured bacterium
Lineage: Bacteria
Description: partial 16S ribosomal RNA
Rfam family: Bacterial small subunit ribosomal RNA
Source: RNAcentral
UACGUAGGUGGCAAGCGUUGUUCGGAAUUAUUGGGCGUAAAGGGCGCGUAGGCGGCUUGUUAAGUCGGCUGUGAAAGCCCGGGGCUCAACCCCGGAGGGUCAGCCGAUACUGGCAGGCUAGAGUACGGAAGAGGUAGCUGGAAUUCCCGGUGUAGCGGUGAAAUGCGUAGAUAUCGUAAGGAAGACCAGUGGCAAAGGCGGGUCUCUGGACAGGUCCUGACGCUGAGGCACGAAGGUCAGGGGAGCAAACGGG